RNAcentral lists this ribosomal RNA (496 nucleotides) under Sphingobacterium multivorum. Its description in RNAcentral is "bacterial SSU rRNA". It matches the Rfam family "Bacterial small subunit ribosomal RNA", at positions 279 to 772 of the family's 1533-position model. The record is from RNAcentral. Lineage: Bacteria; Pseudomonadati; Bacteroidota; Sphingobacteriia; Sphingobacteriales; Sphingobacteriaceae.
AUGUCUAGGGGCUCUGAGAGGAGAAUCCCCCACACUGGUACUGAGACACGGACCAGACUCCUACGGGAGGCAGCAGUAAGGAAUAUUGGUCAAUGGGCGGAAGCCUGAACCAGCCAUGCCGCGUGCAGGAUGACUGCCCUAUGGGUUGUAAACUGCUUUUGUCCAGGAAUAAACCUAGAUACGUGUAUCUAGCUGAAUGUACUGGAAGAAUAAGGAUCGGCUAACUCCGUGCCAGCAGCCGCGGUAAUACGGAGGAUCCGAGCGUUAUCCGGAUUUAUUGGGUUUAAAGGGUGCGUAGGCGGCCUAUUAAGUCAGGGGUGAAAUACGGUGGCUCAACCAUCGCAGUGCCUUUGAUACUGAUGGGCUUGAAUCCAUUUGAAGUGGGCGGAAUAAGACAAGUAGCGGUGAAAUGCAUAGAUAUGUCUUAGAACUCCGAUUGCGAAGGCAGCUCACUAAGCUGGUAUUGACGCUGAUGCACGAAAGCGUGGGGAUCGAA